GUCUACAGCCAUAACACUCUGAACAUACCAAAUCUGAUCUUAUCUGAGAGGCUAAGUAGGGUUGAGCCUAGUUAGUACUUAGAUGAGAGAAGUGCCCCUCAGAAACAAGUGCAAGCCA
Molecule: ribosomal RNA, 118 nt
Filed under: Jaculus jaculus (lesser Egyptian jerboa)
Lineage: Eukaryota; Metazoa; Chordata; Mammalia; Rodentia; Dipodidae
Source: RNAcentral